This 253-nucleotide ribosomal RNA is filed under the name uncultured bacterium. RNAcentral describes it as "partial 16S ribosomal RNA". It matches the Rfam family "Bacterial small subunit ribosomal RNA", at positions 524 to 776 of the family's 1533-position model. The record is from RNAcentral.
GACGUAGGGGGCGAGCGUUGUCCGGAUUUAUUGGGCGUAAAGCGUGCGUAGGCGGCUGCGCAAGUCGGUUGUGAAACCCCGGGGCUCAACCCCGGAACUGCAUCCGAUACUGCGUGGCUAGAGGUAGGUAGGGGAGAUCGGAAUUCCUGGUGUAGCGGUGAAAUGCGUAGAUAUCUGGAGGAACACCGGUGGCGAAGGCGGCAUCCUGGACCGAUACUGACGCUGAGGAGCGAAAGCCAGGGGAGCAAACGGG